RNAcentral lists this unclassified non-coding RNA (570 nucleotides) under Cissus quadrangularis (veldt-grape). Its description in RNAcentral is "partial external transcribed spacer". Lineage: Eukaryota; Viridiplantae; Streptophyta; Magnoliopsida; Vitales; Vitaceae. The record is from RNAcentral.
CCCCUGGAAGGCCUCACCCGUUGCCUCCGUGUGCUGGUAAGGAGAUACCUCCGAGCGAGUCGCGGUUCGAUGUGUGCGGUCAUACCAUGGUGAGCCUGAUGGCGUGUGAGUGGUGUUUGGGUUGCGUGGGUUGAUAGGCUCCUUGCUCGUGCGACGAACUAUCGGCCCCAACCGCAUUUCAUUGUUAGCCACAAGUGCUUCGACGAGAGACUUGGGCGUCGUGGAAGUUGGGUUCCUGUGUUGCAUUCCUAUUGUGAUGGAAUUGUCCCUUCAAAGUUGCCUCUACCCCGCCUUGCUUUGCUAAUGCAAUGCGGGCGGGACUCGGUAGCGGCCGUCGUGGUCCUCGGUCGCCCUUCGCAUGCAAGCAUGGGAGGCGGUGCGCCACGGGCCACGACGUCCGCCGGUGCUCUCGGAUGCGGAACGUUAAGCCGGGCGAGUUGGACCCCCAACGGAAGCUCGAACUAAGCGUUAUUCGCUGUUGCGAACGACAGCGGUCAUCGCGUUGCCCUCGCGUUGCCCCCCUCGGGGGCCUCGGCGAGGCGCAUGCGGUGCCGCCGUCGCACGAGGAUG